GAUGAACGCUGGCGGCGUGCCUAAUACAUGCAAGUCGAGCGAACGGACGAGAAGCUUGCUUUUCUGAUGUUAGCGGCGGACGGGUGAGUAACACGUGGAUAACCUACCUAUAAGACUGGGAUAACUUCGGGAAACCGGAGCUAAUACCGGAUAAUAUUUUGAACCGCAUGGUUCAAAAGUGAAAGACGGUCUUGCUGUCACUUAUAGAUGGAUCCGCGCUGCAUUAGCUAGUUGGUAAGGUAACGGCUUACCGAGGCAACGAUGCAUAGCCGACCUGAGGGGGUGAUCGGCCACACUGGAACUGAGACACGGUCCAGACUCCUACGGGAGGCAGCAGUAGGGAAUCUUCCGCAAUGGGCGAAAGCCUGACGGAGCAACGCCGCGUGAGUGAUGAAGGUCUUCGGAUCGUAAAACUCUGUUAUUAGGGAAGAACAUAUGUGUAAGUAACUGUGCACAUCUUGACGGUACCUAAUCAGAAAGCCACGGCUAACUACGUG
Molecule: ribosomal RNA, 497 nt
Filed under: uncultured bacterium
Lineage: Bacteria
Description: partial 16S ribosomal RNA
Rfam family: Bacterial small subunit ribosomal RNA
Source: RNAcentral